This 1343-nucleotide ribosomal RNA is filed under the name uncultured bacterium. RNAcentral describes it as "16S ribosomal RNA". It matches the Rfam family "Bacterial small subunit ribosomal RNA", at positions 28 to 1378 of the family's 1533-position model. The record is from RNAcentral.
GACGAACGCUGGCGGCGUGCUUAACACAUGCAAGUCGAACGGAAAGGCCCUGCUUUUGUGGGGUGCUCGAGUGGCGAACGGGUGAGUAACACGUGAGUAACCUGCCCUUGACUUUGGGAUAACUUCAGGAAACUGGGGCUAAUACCGGAUAGGAGCUCCUGCUGCAUGGUGGGGGUUGGAAAGUUUCGGCGGUUGGGGAUGGACUCGCGGCUUAUCAGCUUGUUGGUGGGGUAGUGGCUUACCAAGGCUUUGACGGGUAGCCGGCCUGAGAGGGUGACCGGCCACAUUGGGACUGAGAUACGGCCCAGACUCCUACGGGAGGCAGCAGUGGGGAAUAUUGCACAAUGGGCGGAAGCCUGAUGCAGCAACGCCGCGUGCGGGAUGACGGCCUUCGGGUUGUAAACCGCUUUCGCCUGUGACGAAGCGUGAGUGACGGUAAUGGGUAAAGAAGCACCGGCUAACUACGUGCCAGCAGCCGCGGUGAUACGUAGGGUGCGAGCGUUGUCCGGAUUUAUUGGGCGUAAAGGGCUCGUAGGUGGUUGAUCGCGUCGGAAGUGUAAUCUUGGGGCUUAACCCUGAGCGUGCUUUCGAUACGGGUUGACUUGAGGAAGGUAGGGGAGAAUGGAAUUCUUGGUGGAGCGGUGGAAUGCGCAGAUAUCAGGAGGAACACCAGUGGCGAACGCGGUUCUCUGGGCCUUUCCUGACGCUGAGGAGCGAAAGCGUGGGGAGCGAACAGGCUUAGAUACCCUGGUAGUCCACGCUGUAAACGGUGGGUACUAGGUGUGGGGUCCAUUCCACGGGUUCCGUGCCGUAGCUAACGCUUUAAGUACCCCGCCUGGGGAGUACGGCCGCAAGGCUAAAACUCAAAGGAAUUGACGGGGCCCCGCACAAGCGGCGGAGCAUGCGGAUUAAUUCGAUGCAACGCGUAGAACCUUACCUGGGUUUGACAUGGAUCGGGAGUGCUCAGAGAUGGGUGUGCCUCUUUUGGGGUCGGUUCACAGGUGGUGCAUGGCUGUCGUCAGCUCGUGUCGUGAGAUGUUGGGUUAAGUCCCGCAACGAGCGCAACCCUUGUUCACUGUUGCCAGCACGUUAUGGUGGGGACUCAGUGGAGACCGCCGGGGUCAACUCGGAGGAAGGUGGGGAUGACGUCAAGUCAUCAUGCCCCUUAUGUCCAGGGCUUCACGCAUGCUACAAUGGCUGGUACAGAGAGUGGCGAGCCUGUGAGGGUGAGCGAAUCUCGGAAAGCCGGUCUCAGUUCGGAUUGGGGUCUGCAACUCGACCUCAUGAAGUCGGAGUCGCUAGUAAUCGCAGAUCAGCAACGCUGCGGUGAAUACGUUCCCGGG